CUAUAAAGAGCAAGAGAGUGUCCUUUCAGCCUCAAGCCCUUCUCAUGAAUGAGUGUUAAUCUCAUUGAUGAGAGCAGGGUGGAGGCUUCAUAAUUAAAUCACCUCCCAAAGGUCACACCUUUUAAUGCUGUUGAAUUGGGGAUUAAGUUUCAACAAGAAUGUUGAAGGGAACAUCAUCAUUCAAACCAUUGAAAUUCUCCAUCCCAGAGUGAUAUAUCUUGAAAAUUCACUUCAUUUGAGAGUCAUUUGUUUCUUGAUAACUGUUGUCCAGUUGCUACAUACUUCAUUAAAUUGAUGCAAAGGAAAAUCUGUUCAUUGUGCUCAAAAUUUUAGAGAAAGACACGAGAAAUGAUGAAGAAGUGGAUGAUUGACAGAGAGUUCAGCUGAGUUUCAGUUUGGUGAGAGGAUGUCUAAUAUAGAGGGCACUCCAGGAGUGGGCCUAGCAGCCUUAGCUGGAUGAGGCGGUCCCAUGGAAGAGGAUUGCCUAACACAUGAUUUUGAACUUCAUCCUUACAGACCCACGAAUGUGUUUCUCAAGGACCUGGGAACCAUCUCUGAAAUGUCAUCAUCAAUGGAGAUGGCACCUACCUACCUCAGUUUCUGUGGGAGGGUAGCAGCCUAACUUUGGAAGGUCUUCGUGGACAAUAUGCCCAUGCAGCUGUGUCAUCUCUUAUAAUAGCAACACCUCCUGCUGGAAUACCUCCUGAAUAACCCGCUUGAGGCUGUUUAAAAUGGUUCACUUUUUUUAUUUUUAAUAUAUAUGUAGAAGGAGUAGAUUCUAAAAUAAUGACAAAAGUAUGGCGUAGUAAAUACAUAAACCAGAAACAUGGUCAUUUAUUAUCAGUAUUAAGUCUUAUGUACUGUCUAAAAUUGUAUUGCUAUACUUUUAUACUACUACUAACACAGUGGGUUUGUUUACAUCAGCAUCACCACAAACACAUAAGUAAUGCAUCGGGCUAGGACAUUAAGAUAGCUUGUCACCUAUUCUAUCGAUAUGUGAUAAAAAUGUUUCAGUUCCAUUUUAAUCUUAUGGAACCAGUGUUGUCUAUGCGGCCUGUCGUUGACCCAAAUGUCAUUAUGUAGUGCAUAACUGUACUAACACUGAGAAAAACUGAGUGUUUGUAUUUUAGAGUUAAGCACUGAUACGUUUACAAAUAAAAUAAUAUCUGACAUUUGUUUCAAAGUAAUCUGGAUAAGAGGAUAUGGUAAGAACAUAUAUAAAGUAAGAUUGACCAUGGGUUGAUAAUGUAUGAAGCUAAGUGGUAAAUAAUCUUUGUUCCAACCUUUGUGUAUAGUGGUUCUCAAAGAUGAUCCCUGCGCUAGCAGCAACAGCAUCAUUUGAGAUCUUGUUUGAAAAGUAAACUCUCUGAGGAAACCACAUAUUUUGUAACCAAAACUCUGCACAUGAGGCCCAUUAGUCUGUGGUUUCACAAGCCCUUUAGGUAAUUUUUGUAUAUUUUUAAGCUAUCCAUAAUACAACGAAAAAUAAUGAAAACACCCAGGACAAAUGUUUCACUGGAAAAAUUUGAAUAAAGUUUGCAGACAUAAUUCUAAUCUUAAACACUUUCAAAAGAUAGAAGAGGAUCUAUUCCCUAACCCAGUCUGUGAGAGUAGAAAACCUUAGCCCUGGAACUGAACAAAGAGUAUGAAAGAACUAUCAAAUCCAGUCUCACUUAUGAACAAAAGAUCCAAUAAUCUUAAGUAGUUAAGUAAAUCUAGCAUUAUGUAAAAAUAAUAGAAAUACAUCAGAACUAAGUUGUAUUUAUCCUAGAAAAUGAAAGUUGAUUUAACAUUUGAAAAACUUCAAAAAGCAGGGAGGUUUAAAGGAGUUUGUUUAUUCUUAAUAUAUUCUGUUUAUUUAUUUCAGUGUUUUUAUAUGAGUAUCCUUAAUUUUCUAAACUGUGUUAAGAUGCAUGCUUAUAAUUGUUUUACUUUUUUGAUUGGAAGAUAAGCCUAAAUAAAGGUUGUGAAAACGA
RNAcentral lists this long non-coding RNA (1976 nucleotides) under Pongo abelii (Sumatran orangutan). RNAcentral's name for it is "lincRNA". Lineage: Eukaryota; Metazoa; Chordata; Mammalia; Primates; Hominidae. The record is from RNAcentral.